GAUGAACGCUAGCUACAGGCUUAACACAUGCAAGUCGAGGGGCAGCAUGAUUGAAGCUUGCUUCAAUCGAUGGCGACCGGCGCACGGGUGAGUAACACGUAUCCAACCUGCCGUUAACUCGGGGAUAGCCUUUCGAAAGAAAGAUUAAUACCCGAUAGUAUAGUAUUUCCGCAUGGUUUCACUAUUAAAGAACUUCGGUUAUCGAUGGGGAUGCGUUCCAUUAGAUAGUUGGCGGGGUAACGGCCCACCAAGUCAACGAUGGAUAGGGGUUCUGAGAGGAAGGUCCCCCACAUUGGAACUGAGACACGGUCCAAACUCCUACGGGAGGCAGCAGUGAGGAAUAUUGGUCAAUGGACGAGAGUCUGAACCAGCCAAGUAGCGUGAAGGAUGACUGCCCUAUGGGUUGUAAACUUCUUUUAUACGGGAAUAAAGUGGAGUAUGCAUACUCCUUUGUAUGUACCGUAUGAAUAAGGAUCGGCUAACUCCGUG
This 489-nucleotide ribosomal RNA is filed under the name uncultured bacterium. RNAcentral's name for it is "partial 16S ribosomal RNA". It matches the Rfam family "Bacterial small subunit ribosomal RNA", at positions 28 to 507 of the family's 1533-position model. The record is from RNAcentral.